Molecule: long non-coding RNA, 417 nt
Organism: Ailuropoda melanoleuca (giant panda)
Lineage: Eukaryota; Metazoa; Chordata; Mammalia; Carnivora; Ursidae
Exons: 4
Source: RefSeq, a predicted model, not a curated record
UCAGUUCUGGUUUUGAAUUUCUGUGACUUCUGGCAGGUCAUUUGGCCUCUCUGAGCCUCAGGAAGGCUGUACGGUGGGGAGAAUACGAACCCUGCAAAAGAGGGGGCCUCAACCCCUUCAGGUGGGACCACAGGGGACAGGACGAUGGGACCUCCUACCAGAGACACUUCCAGGCCCUGCCGAGCCCACCGGCCUUGAUGUGUAAGAGGGCCUUCUCCAGCGUGCAACUGGGAGACUUCAAGAUUGGCUAUGGGCCCAUGUGUUCGGAGCAGAAACAAGCCUACAGGCCCCAGGGUCUGCCCCCAGACAGGUAUGACAAGGCCCAGGCCGCAGCCCACAUCCACUAUGUGAAUAUUCGUCCUGGAGAUGGCCUGUUCCAUGACAGGACCACCAAGGCUGACCACUUCUAUGCCCGAG